UGCCAGCAGCCGCGGUAAUACGGAGGGUGCGAGCGUUAAUCGGAAUUACUGGGCGUAAAGGGUGUGUAGGCGGUUGGCUCAGUCGGAUGUGAAAGCCCCGGGCUUAACCUGGGAACUGCAUUCGAUACUGGUCGACUAGAGUACGGUAGAGGGUAGUGGAAUUUCUGGUGUAGCAGUGAAAUGCGUAGAUAUCAGAAGGAACACCGGUGGCGAAGGCGGCUACCUGGACCGAUACUGACGCUGAGGCACGAAAGCGUGGGGAGCAAACGGGAUUAGAUA
RNAcentral lists this ribosomal RNA (279 nucleotides) under uncultured bacterium. RNAcentral's name for it is "partial 16S ribosomal RNA". It matches the Rfam family "Bacterial small subunit ribosomal RNA", at positions 506 to 784 of the family's 1533-position model. The record is from RNAcentral.